UGGGGAAUAUUGCACAAUGGGCGCAAGCCUGAUGCAGCCAUGCCGCGUGUGUGAAGAAGGCCUUCGGGUUGUAAAGCACUUUCAGCGAGGAGGAAGGUGGUGAGCUUAAUACGCUCAUCAAUUGACGUUACUCGCAGAAGAAGCACCGGCUAACUCCGUGCCAGCAGCCGCGGUAAUACGGAGGGUGCAAGCGUUAAUCGGAAUUACUGGGCGUAAAGCGCACGCAGGCGGUUUGUUAAGUCAGAUGUGAAAUCCCCGGGCUCAACCUGGGAACUGCAUUUGAAACUGGCAAGCUAGAGUCUCGUAGAGGGGGGUAGAAUUCCAGGUGUAGCGGUGAAAUGCGUAGAGAUCUGGAGGAAUACCGGUGGCGAAGGCGGCCCCCCUGGANGAAGACUGACGCUCAGGU
Molecule: ribosomal RNA, 406 nt
Filed under: uncultured bacterium
Lineage: Bacteria
Description: partial 16S ribosomal RNA
Rfam family: Bacterial small subunit ribosomal RNA
Source: RNAcentral